AACGAACGCUGGCGGCAUGCCUAACACAUGCAAGUCGAACGAUACCUUCGGGUCUAGUGGCGCACGGGUGCGUAACGCGUGGGAACCUGCCCUUAGGUUCGGAAUAACUCCCCGAAAGGGGUGCUAAUACCGGAUAAUGUCUUCGGACCAAAGAUUUAUCGCCUUUGGAUGGGCCCGCGUUGGAUUAGCUAGUUGGUAGGGUAAAAGCCUACCAAGGCGACGAUCCAUAGCUGGUCUGAGAGGAUGAUCAGCCACACUGGGACUGAGACACGGCCCAGACUCCUACGGGAGGAAGCAGUGGGGAAUAUUGGACAAUGGGCGAAAGACUGAUCCAGCAAUGCCGCGUGAGUGAUGAAGGCCUUAGGGUUGUAAAGCUCUUUUACCCGGGAUGAUAAUGACAGUACCGGGAGAAUAAGCGCCGGCUAACUCCGUG
Molecule: ribosomal RNA, 433 nt
Filed under: uncultured bacterium
Lineage: Bacteria
Description: partial 16S ribosomal RNA
Rfam family: Bacterial small subunit ribosomal RNA
Source: RNAcentral